AAGAGCCUAGUAAACAUAUUACAUAAUCUUGUCAAGAUUAAAUAACAGCACAUGCUGUGGCUCUCA
Molecule: transfer RNA, 66 nt
Filed under: Xerotyphlops vermicularis (Eurasian blind snake)
Lineage: Eukaryota; Metazoa; Chordata; Lepidosauria; Squamata; Typhlopidae
Description: tRNA-Asp
Source: RNAcentral